RNAcentral lists this ribosomal RNA (455 nucleotides) under uncultured bacterium. RNAcentral describes it as "bacterial SSU rRNA". It matches the Rfam family "Bacterial small subunit ribosomal RNA", at positions 29 to 506 of the family's 1533-position model. The record is from RNAcentral.
GUGAACGCUGGCGGCGUGCUUAACACAUGCAAGUCGAACGAUGAAGUCCUUCGGGAUGGAUUAGUGGCGCACGGGUGAGUAUACUAUAGGUAAUGUGCCUCUUAGUCUGGGAUAGCCACUGGAAACGGUGAUUAAUACUAGAUACACCUCUUUAGCUCAAGCUAGAGAGGGAAACGUUUUUUCGCUUCGAGAUCAGACUAUAUCCUAUCAGUUAGUUGGUGAGGUAAUGGCUCACCAAGGCAAUGACGGGUAGCGGUUCUGAGAGGAUGAUCCGCCACACUGGUACUGAGACACGGACCAGACUCCUACGGGAGGCAGCAGUGAGGAAUAUUGCACAAUGGGGGGAACCCUGAUGCAGCAACGCCGCGUGGAGGAUGACGCAUUUCGGUGUGUAAACUCCUUUUAUAUGUCAAGAAAAUGACGGUAGCAUAUGAAUAAGCACCGGCUAACUCCGU